AAGUCGAACGGAAAGGCCUCUUCGGAGGUACUCGAGUGGCGAACGGGUGAGUAACACGUGGGCAAUCUGCCCUGCACUUCGGGAUAAGCCUGGGAAACUGGGUCUAAUACCGGAUAGGACCUCAAGACGCAUGUCUUCUGGUGGAAAGCUUUUGCGGUGUGGGAUGGGCCCGCGGCCUAUCAGCUUGUUGGUGGGGUGACGGCCUACCAAGGCGACGACGGGUAGCCGGCCUGAGAGGGUGUCCGGCCACACUGGGACUGAGAUACGGCCCAGACUCCUACGGGAGGCAGCAGUGGGGAAUAUUGCACAAUGGGCGCAAGCCUGAUGCAGCGACGCCGCGUGGGGGAUGACGGCCUUCGGGUUGUAAACCUCUUUCACCAUCGACGAAGGUCCGGGUUUUCUCGGAUUGACGGUAGGUGGAGAAGAAGCACCGGCCAACUACGUGCCAGCAGCCGCGGUAAUACGUAGGGUGCGAGCGUUGUCCGGAAUUACUGGGCGUAAAGAGCUCGUAGGUGGUUUGUCGCGUUGUUCGUGAAAUCUCACGGCUUAACUGUGAGCGUGCGGGCGAUACGGGCAGACUAGAGUACUGCAGGGGAGACUGGAAUUCCUGGUGUAGCGGUGGAAUGCGCAGAUAUCAGGAGGAACACCGGUGGCGAAGGCGGGUCUCUGGGCAGUAACUGACGCUGAGGAGCGAAAGCGUGGGGAGCGAACAGGAUUAGAUACCCUGGUAGUCCACGCCGUAAACGGUGGGUACUAGGUGUGGGUUUCCUUCCUUGGGAUCCGUGCCGU
This 789-nucleotide ribosomal RNA is filed under the name uncultured Mycobacterium sp. RNAcentral's name for it is "bacterial SSU rRNA". It matches the Rfam family "Bacterial small subunit ribosomal RNA", at positions 59 to 849 of the family's 1533-position model. Lineage: Bacteria; Bacillati; Actinomycetota; Actinomycetes; Mycobacteriales; Mycobacteriaceae. The record is from RNAcentral.